This 227-nucleotide ribosomal RNA is filed under the name uncultured bacterium. RNAcentral describes it as "partial 16S ribosomal RNA". It matches the Rfam family "Bacterial small subunit ribosomal RNA", at positions 524 to 749 of the family's 1533-position model. The record is from RNAcentral.
UACGAAGGGGGCUAGCGUUGCUCGGAAUCACUGGGCGUAAAGGGCGCGUAGGCGGCCGAUCAAGUCAGGGGUGAAAGCCUGUGGCUCAACCACAGAAUUGCCUUUGAUACUGUUCGGCUCGAGACCGGAAGAGGUAAGUGGAACUGCGAGUGUAGAGGUGAAAUUCGUAGAUAUUCGCAAGAACACCAGUGGCGAAGGCGGACUUACUGGUCCGGUUCUGACGCUGA